Molecule: ribosomal RNA, 540 nt
Filed under: uncultured bacterium
Lineage: Bacteria
Description: bacterial SSU rRNA
Rfam family: Bacterial small subunit ribosomal RNA
Source: RNAcentral
AGUGAAUAGAUACCCGGGUAGUCCACGCCCUAAACGAUGAUCACUAGCUUUUUGGAGUAUCGACCCUCUGAGAGGCACAGCAAACGCGUUAAGUGAUCCGCCUGGGAAGUACGGCCGCAAGGCUAAAACUCAAAAGAAUAGACGGGGGCGUCGCACAAGUGGUGGAUUAUGUGGUUUAAUUCGACGCUAAACGAAGAACCUCACCAAGGCUUGAAAUUCAGUUGAAAUUCUCCAGAAACGGAGAACCUCCCACAAGGACAACUGGACAGGUGAUGCAUGGUUGUCGUCAGUUCGUGGUUUGAAUUGUUCCCUUAACGUGGGGUAACGAACGCAACCCUCGUGGCUGUUACAAGUGUCAGGCCAGACUGCCUCGUUCAACGAGGAGGAAGCGGGGGAUGACGCCAAACUCAGCAUGUCCCCUUUGACGCCUUGGGCUACACACAUAAUACAAUGGUCGCUACAAAGAGACGCAAUCUCGUAAGAAGGAGCAAAUCUUGAGAAGCGGCCCAAGGUUCGGAUUGAGGUCUGCAACUCGACCUC